RNAcentral lists this ribosomal RNA (507 nucleotides) under Triticum aestivum (bread wheat). RNAcentral's name for it is "partial small subunit ribosomal RNA". The record is from RNAcentral. Lineage: Eukaryota; Viridiplantae; Streptophyta; Magnoliopsida; Poales; Poaceae.
AUGGGUUUCAUGAAUCACCAUAUCCAGAGAUUUGUCGACAUAGCUUGUUGCCAGUUCGAUCCCACGGAUCAGGAGCUGAUCGAGCACCUUGAGGCCAAAGUGAGUGUUGACAGCGCGAGAUUUCAGUCUCUCAUCGAUUUGUCCAUACCAACCAUCGACAGCGAGCACGGCAUAUGCUACACCCAACCUGAGAAACUUCCAGGUAUCACACUGAGUGGCCUAAGGAAGCAUUUCUUCCAGCGCAAUUCCAGGGCGUUCAAAAGGGGCACACGGGCAGCAAAAAAGGUUCUGGUGCUGCACACCAACAAGAACUCCGACCAGCAGAGGACCAACUGGGUGAUGCAGCAGUACCACAUCGGAGACCUGGAGCAAGAGAAGGAGUGGGAGCUGGUCCUCUGGAAGAUUUUCUACCAGACGAACACUAGGGCCAGGAGUAGUUUCGUAUUGGUAGUUGUACUACCUUGUCGUCCGCAAGUUGGUAUUGUUGUUAACGAUCUUUUGGUAUGA